RNAcentral lists this ribosomal RNA (796 nucleotides) under uncultured bacterium. RNAcentral describes it as "bacterial SSU rRNA". It matches the Rfam family "Bacterial small subunit ribosomal RNA", at positions 8 to 798 of the family's 1533-position model. The record is from RNAcentral.
AGAGUUUGAUCAUGGCUCAGAUUGAACGCUGGCGGCAGGCCUAACACAUGCAAGUCGAGCGGAUGAAGGGAGCUUGCUCCCUGAUUUAGCGGCGGACGGGUGAGUAAUGCCUAGGAAUCUGCCUGGUAGUGGGGGACAACGUUUCGAAAGGAACGCUAAUACCGCAUACGUCCUACGGGAGAAAGUGGGGGAUCUUCGGACCUCACGCUAUCAGAUGAGCCUAGGUCGGAUUAGCUAGUUGGUGAGGUAAAGGCUCACCAAGGCGACGAUCCGUAACUGGUCUGAGAGGAUGAUCAGUCACACUGGAACUGAGACACGGUCCAGACUCCUACGGGAGGCAGCAGUGGGGAAUAUUGGACAAUGGGCGAAAGCCUGAUCCAGCCAUGCCGCGUGUGUGAAGAAGGUCUUCGGAUUGUAAAGCACUUUAAGUUGGGAAAGAAAUCCAGCCGGCUAAUACCUGGUUGGGAUGACGGUACCCAAAGAAUAAGCACCGGCUAACUUCGUGCCAGCAGCCGCGGUAAUACGAAGGGUGCAAGCGUUACUCGGAAUUACUGGGCGUAAAGCGUGCGUAGGUGGUUAUUUAAGUCCGUUGUGAAAGCCCUGGGCUCAACCUGGGAACUGCAGUGGAUACUGGAUGACUAGAAUGUGGUAGAGGGUAGCGGAAUUCCUGGUGUAGCAGUGAAAUGCGUAGAGAUCAGGAGGAACAUCCAUGGCGAAGGCAGCUACCUGGACCAACAUUGACACUGAGGCACGAAAGCGUGGGGAGCAAACAGGAUUAGAUACCCUGGUAGUCCAA